GAUGAAGAACGUAGCGAAAUGCGAUAAGUAAUGUGAAUUGCAGAAUUCAGUGAAUCAUCGAAUGUUUGAACGCACAUUGCGCCCGCCAGUAUUCUGGCGGGCAUGCCUGUUCGAGCGUCAUUUCAACCCUCAGGCCCCCAGUGCCUGGUGUUGGGGAUCGGCCCAGCCUUCCUGUAAGGCCGCCGGCCCCGAAAUCUAGUGGCGGUCUCGCUGUAGUCCUCCUCUGCGUAGUAGCACAACCUCCCAGUUGGAACGCGGCGGUGGCCAUGCCGUUAAACACCCCACUUCUGAAAGUUGACCUCGGAUCAGGUAGGAAUACCCGCUGAACUUAAGCAUAUCAAUAAGCGGAGGA
RNAcentral lists this unclassified non-coding RNA (352 nucleotides) under soil metagenome. RNAcentral's name for it is "partial contains 5.8S ribosomal RNA, internal transcribed spacer 2, and large subunit ribosomal RNA". The stretch from base 1 to 120 matches the Rfam family "5.8S ribosomal RNA", at positions 35 to 154 of the family's 154-position model. The record is from RNAcentral.